UCAAGACAUAAUAGUAAUCAAAAUGUGAAACAUUACUUGAUAAGUUUAAUGCUUCGAAGUAUAAGCCUAGUAAUAUAACAAAACUAUAUUUCAGACAAGUUUAGUGGAAUUAACUACAAUCCAAAAUAAAACACCAUCCAACUCGAUCAUUCAAGUUUAUCUUGUAAUUCAUCAGCCAAAUCGUCCACUUCAAAUUCAUCACCGAUGUCAUUCUCUUGAAUUUCAUCAUCCAGGUCAUCCUCUUGAAAUUCAUCAUCUAGGUCAUCCUCUUGAAAUUCAUUAUCUAUAUCAUCCUCCUGAAAUUCAUCACUUAAGUUGUCCUCAAGAAAUUCGUCCUCAAGAAAUUCAUCAUCUACGUCUUCCUCUUGAAAUUCCUCAUCUAUGUCAUCAUGUACAACAUCUUCAUUGAUAACUUGCUGCAUAAGAACAAAAUACAUCAACUAUAGAUAUUGUUGGUUCAAAGGUCAAUCAAAGACAUCAACAAGUGUUGUACCUCGCACAAAUAAAAACCAAAACAACAACUAAAACACAGUCAACAUAGCCGCAAAUAGGAAACUUGUUUUACACAUUUCCCUUCCUUAUUCUAUCAUUACAAGCUCAUUUUUCAGUUUCUGCAACUUAUGCCUUGUUAUGCAACAAAGAAACAAACACAAAAUGCAGAAAAAUAAAUCACAAGUUUGCACAAACACCACAAAUUGCAUAAACAAAAUUUAUGCAUAAAAUUCUGCAACACAAUCAAAAUCCGACUUUGGACACGCAUUUUAAACAAUUAAGCCAAACAACAUAAUCAUAAGUUCGCACAGCUCUAAAUUAAACCCAGCAUACGCAAGUUAACAAUUUCAGACACUUGCCUACAUUCCAAGUGAUGUCAUCACUAACAACUUUUUGCAUAUAUAAUAAUAACAAGCAAAACAAAAUAUAUGCAUAAAAUUCAACAACAUAAAGAGAAUCUGACCCUGCACACACAUCUUAAACAAUUAAGCAAAAUAACAUAAUCAUAAAUUCGCACAGCUCUAAUUCAGACCCUACACACGCAACUUAACAGUUUAUCCCAAUUCUUAUUGAACUUAAUUGAUGUCAAGUAUAGCAUCAUN
This 1094-nucleotide long non-coding RNA is filed under the name Medicago truncatula (barrel medic). RNAcentral describes it as "long non-coding RNA (MTRU_LNC008552)". Lineage: Eukaryota; Viridiplantae; Streptophyta; Magnoliopsida; Fabales; Fabaceae. The record is from RNAcentral.